Molecule: ribosomal RNA, 254 nt
Filed under: uncultured bacterium
Lineage: Bacteria
Description: partial 16S ribosomal RNA
Rfam family: Bacterial small subunit ribosomal RNA
Source: RNAcentral
UACGAAGGGUGCAAACGUUGCUCGGAAUUAUUGGGCGUAAAGCGCACGUAGGCGGCUUAGCAAGUCCCAUGUGAAAGCCCACGGCUUAACCGUGGAAGUGCAUGGGAAACUGCUGAGCUUGAGUACUUAAGAGGAUCGCGGAAUUCCCGGUGUAGAGGUGAAAUUCGUAGAUAUCGGGAGGAACACCAAUUGCGAAGGCAGCUCGCUGGGACGUUACUGACGCUGAGACGCGAAAAGCGUGGGGAGCAAACAGG